Long non-coding RNA from Herpailurus yagouaroundi (jaguarundi), 2443 nucleotides. RefSeq lists it as uncharacterized. The transcript is spliced from 2 exons. The record is from RefSeq and is a predicted model, not a curated record. Lineage: Eukaryota; Metazoa; Chordata; Mammalia; Carnivora; Felidae.
UCCCUUUAGAUUCUAAAAUGCUUAAUUUAAAAAGUCUUCAAAAUGUUUAUUCAGUUAGUCUUUCCCUGAGGAAUUCCUGGGAUAGAAGUGUUCCAUUCCAAACCCUGAGAUAGACAUACCUCUGGAUCAAGGUGUUUAAGAAGCUCCUCAAAGAAGGAAAUGGCCAGGACACAAAGGAGCUCCUCUGUUCCAGCGCUUGAGGACCCGGAUUCCGCCCCCAACCUUCCCCCCCCGCCCCCCCCCCCCUCCCGCGGUGAGUGAGAGCGCGAGCGAGGGACUUGGGGCUCAGUCCCAGACACUACGUCGACAGGUGAGGCCCCAGAUGUUGGUACUUAAGCGUUGGCUGCCUAGGGCUCACAGGGCUAUGUGGCAGCUGCGGAACGGAGGUUGGCGAUUAAGUGAGGACGGAAAGCACAGAGAAGCUGCCGGCAAGGCAAGCAGCUGAUUCAGGCCAGGAGGCAGAAAGGUGGUGGGCAGAAGAACACUCUAUACCUGGGGCCUAUAUGGACCCACCACCGUCGAUUACUGCAUCCCCACCUCCAGCCUAUAGCUUUCCCGUGCGGACCAGCCCCCUUUCUGAGGACGCCGCCAUUGCCUUCGCUCCAGUCCAUUCCAGACCCUCAGUGCCACUCGCAUCCGUCCCACCUCUGCUCCCAGGGCCGCCGCCGUGGCUCAGGCGCUCGAAGACGGCCGGACUCUCACUUUACUCCCGACCGUAGCACCUGGCUGCGGGGGAGCGAGGCUGUCCAGGCUUCUCCAGAGCGCUCCGCCACUUUCCAGGCAAGGGUGACCCAGCGACUGCCUGGCCCAGCUCCCCGCACUCUAAGCGGCCGUCUACGCACGGCUCCGAAGCGCUGCCGUGCGAGCCCUACACGGGAGACCGACCCCAAACCCGCCCCUCCAAACUCUCGCGCGAACAGGCAGCUCCGGAGCGGCUUCCAGGCUGCGAGGACCCCGGUGGAUCGCAGAAGGACCCAGACUUGCGUGGCGAGCAGCUCCACGUGACCACCAGGGGUCAGCCGAAGAAUAGGAGUGGCCUGAAGCAAGGACAGAGCCGUUUGGCAUAAGGACGCGGUCAGAGGCACGUGGGUGUGCCAGUCUAGGUGGGCUAGGACCUUCCAAAAGAAAGGUACCCUGCUAGCCUGUGAGAAGCCCUGGUUUCAAUACCCCGCAAACUACAUCUCCCAGGAAGCACCGCAGCACUUCACAGAUCCUGUUAGUAGCUACAAGUCUUCAGAUAACCUAAGACCUGCAGUUUGUCAGUUUCCCCAACUUUCCUUUUCCGAGGAAACCAUACUGUGCAUCUUAAAAGAAUCUGGUCUUAAGGUAGUAGGCAGCCAUAGCAAAGAGCUAAAAAUAACUGUCCAGCAAAGACAUAACUAUAUUCCUCCAAUAACCUUAACUUUGGACUCCAGAGCUUCACCUUCAUUUCUAGGUGGAAAUUUGAACGCUUGUUUUUUUCCAGUUGUUAUAGAAAGCCAACACAAAGAAAGGAGAGGAGAGCUUAAGUCAGAGCAUCCCACAGUUGCAGGUCUCUAGUGACAUAGAUGACAAGCCAGUAAUACUUUUUUUUUUUUUAUUUUAUAAAACAUGCAUUUUAAAACAAAACUUUAAAAAAUAACAAAACUUGGGACAGGAGAGUGGAUGGAAGACAGAUGCUUCUCAGCUGUCAGCAGGAGUGAAGACAGCAGUCAAGCUGUGUCUAGGACCCAAAGGCCCUUUUGGCAAUGAUGGUGUUGGCAAUACUGGUUUGCUAGGGCCACCAAUAUUCGAUGUCCUGGUCCAUCCAGGCAUCUCUCAAGCAGUCAGAGACUUGAGCUCUCUUGAGCUACUGUUGUAUCCUAUCACUAACCAGGACUUCAGUCCUUAGCCAACUAGGAACUGAGAGUACUGGUUCCAGGAGCGUUUUUUUGCCUGGAUAUUAAUUACCCAGGAUAUUUAUUGAGAAUAUCAAUUUCUUUCCAUUUGGGUCAAUUCUAGACUCUGUUCCUGGCCCGCUAUUUUGCAAAGAAUGAAAAAGGAAUCUGGCACCUCUUCCCUUUACAGCAACUCUGCUGCAUUCCAGUUCUGUUAAUAGCACCAUCUGUAGACCCUGAGCAGGUCCAAUUCUGGAAGCGGGCGAGGACUAGCCAACUUGGGAAACCAUCUCCCAGUUCUGGGGCACAGAACACUGAGGGGAGAGGAGUAGUUCACUGGGAGAGGAUGAGGUCAGAGCGCCAACACUGAGGAGAAGACAGCUGCAUCUGUCAGAGACAAAAUCAAGAGCAUUGACUCUUAAGGUGAGUGGAGAAAAAGUGCCUGGAAUACUUCUUAUGAAGGAAAAGAGGGCAAACCUGCCCCAAACAUUUUAGAAUUAGGCAGGAGGAGGUUAGGAUCAGUGCAGACUUUCAAGAAUACAAUCUAUUUCACUGAAUGUUGGGAGGAUUAAAUGCUUUGUAAACCA